This 691-nucleotide ribosomal RNA is filed under the name Eysarcoris guttigerus. RNAcentral describes it as "partial 16S ribosomal RNA". The stretch from base 294 to 456 matches the Rfam family "Bacterial large subunit ribosomal RNA", at positions 1791 to 2013 of the family's 2925-position model. The record is from RNAcentral. Lineage: Eukaryota; Metazoa; Arthropoda; Insecta; Hemiptera; Pentatomidae.
AUUGAAUUUAAUUCAGGAUUAAAUGUUAUAUUGUAUAAUUUAAUUUAUACUUUAUAUUUUAAUCUAAAAUUAAUAGGGAUAAGCUUAUUAAUUGAUUUAUAAUCUUAAUUUUGUUUAAAUUUUGUAGGAUUAAAAAUUUCCAUCAUUUAUUUUGUUAUAAUUAAUUUUAAUUUAUAUUUUAUUUUAAUUAGGUUUAAAUUUUUAUUAAAAAUAAUUAUUUAAUAAAAUAAAUAAUUGUUAUAAUGAUAAAAUUAGUAAAUAAUAUAAUUAAUAUAUAGUAAUUCGGCAAAAUUAUCCCUCACCUGUUUAACAAAAACAUGUUCUAAUGUUUAAUUUUAUUAGAUUUGACCUGCUCAAUGAUAUUAAUUAAAUAGCCGCAGUAUUUUGACUGUGCGAAGGUAGCAUAAUCAAUUGUCUUUUAAUUGAAGGCUUGUAUGAAAGGUUGGAUGAGGGGAUAACUUUCUUUAUAUUAAAUAUUGAAUUUAAUUUUUAAGUUAAAAAGCUUAAAUUUUUAAAAGGGACGAGAAGACCCUAUAGAAUUUUAUAUUAUUUAUAAAUUAAUUAUUUUGGUUAGUUUUAAAUAAUUUUAUAAAUAAUAUUUUGUUGGGGUGACAGUGAGAUUUAUUAAACUCUUAUAAUUUAUAUUAUUGUUGAUUAACAUAUUUAUGAUCCUGAUUGUGGAUAAUUAGAU